AAGUUGCGCCCUAAGCCCCUAGGCCGAGGGCACGCNUGCCUGGGUGUCACGCAUCGCUGCCCCACCGCCUCCCCGCCCUCUCCGAGGGCGCCCGGCGGUGCGGGCGGACAUUGGCCUCCCGUGCGCUCUCCGCUCGCGGUUGGCCCAAAUACGAGUCCCCGGCGACCGGCGCCGCGACGAUCGGUGGGAAUGAAAAACUCCUCGAGCGCACGUCGCGGGCCCUCCCGAGGGAAUCACGGACCCCCAAGCUCCGCGCAGAGCGGCGCUCGCUNCGCGACCCCAGGUCAGGCGGGACUACCCGCUGAGUUUAAGCGUAUCAAUAAGCGGAGGAAAAGAAACUUACCAA
This 346-nucleotide ribosomal RNA is filed under the name Conchocarpus ruber. RNAcentral's name for it is "eukaryotic LSU rRNA". The stretch from base 275 to 346 matches the Rfam family "Eukaryotic large subunit ribosomal RNA", at positions 1 to 72 of the family's 3401-position model. The record is from RNAcentral. Lineage: Eukaryota; Viridiplantae; Streptophyta; Magnoliopsida; Sapindales; Rutaceae.